AUGCACCCACAAGGUGACCCGAGAGGCCUCUGGCUCCUGCUGCACUCCUUGUCCCUGCUGCUGUUUGAGGUGGCCAGAGAUGGCCCAGCCAUGGUUAGCUGUCCUGCCGCCGCCCCUCCUACAUCCUCGCCCCAGGCUCCAGCGGCAGCGACCGGCGCGCGCGCCAUGCUCGCUGCCGCCACGCCCCUCCCUCCGCUAGCAUCGCCGCGCUUCCGGCUCCCAGCAACGCUCCACGCCAGGCCUGCGGACCUGGAGGCUGCGGCCGUGGUCGGUGGGCUCCGGCGGGCUCAGCGUUUGAGGCGGCGGCGGGGGACUCUUCAUGAUGGUCUAACCUGGUUACAUGUCCUGGUUCCUUGGAAACCCUCACAUAAUCUAUGCUACUGUCAGAGUUAUCAAAUGGAGAUGUCCAAAAAUGACUACAUAUUAUGUAAGUUACAAUCUCAUGUGUCACUUACAGAGCUCGUGUGUCACAUCUGGGCUAGAUCAUUUCCUAGUAUGGAAGGAAGGCUCUUUGGGGACUGAUGGUGGUGAUGGUGGUGGUCUCAGCCUUGUUGUUGCUUUAUGUGUGCCUCGCAAUUGAUUUUAUUCUGGAGUACAAUAAUAUAAGUUAAUAAAAUUUGAUACUAGGUAAGAUUUAUGAUUCUCAAAAGGUUUAUUUGCAGCCUGUUCUUCUGUGUUGUCUCCAUUUCAGGUAAAUAUUCUCUUAUGCAAUUCCCUGAUGUUUCUUAAAACAGAGCUCAUGUCCUUUGCAGGAACAUGGAUGGAGUUGGAGGCCAGUGUUCUUAGCAAACCAGCUCAGGAACAGAAAACUGAAUACUGCAGGUUCUCACUUAUAGGUGGCAGCUAAAUAAUAAAAACACACCAACACAAAGAGGGGAACAAGAGACACUGGGGCUUACCUGAGGGUAAAGGGUGGGAAGAGGGAGAGGAGCAGAAAAAAUAACUAUUGGGUACUAGGUGUAGUACUGCAUGAUGAAAUAAUGCAUACAACCUGAGUUUAUAUAACACACUUCUACACAUAUUCCUGGACCUAAAAUAAAUUUUAUAAAAAUGAUGAGUGUUGGCCAAGUCAAACCAGAAUAACUCAGUGUGUAGGGUCAUGGUU
This 1105-nucleotide long non-coding RNA is filed under the name Callithrix jacchus (white-tufted-ear marmoset). RNAcentral's name for it is "lncRNA (ENSCJAG00000072769.1)". Lineage: Eukaryota; Metazoa; Chordata; Mammalia; Primates; Cebidae. The record is from RNAcentral.